GAUGAAGAACGUAGCAAAAUGCGAUAAGUAAUGUGAGUUGCAGAAUUCAGUGAAUCAUCGAAUCUUUGAACGCACAUUGCGCCCGCUGGUAUUCCGGCGGGCAUGCCUGUUCGAGCGUCAUUUCAACCCUCAAGCCCCCGGGUUUGGUGUUGGGGAUCGGCUCUGCCCUUCUGGGCGGUGCCGCCCCCGAAAUACAUUGGCGGUCUCGCUGCAGCCUCCAUUGCGUAGUAGCUAACACCUCGCAACUGGAACGCGGCGCGGCCAUGCCGUAAAACCCCAACUUCUGAAUGUUGACCUCGGAUCAGGUAGGAAUACCCGCUGAACUUAAGCAUAUCAAUAAGCGGAGGA
Molecule: unclassified non-coding RNA, 348 nt
Filed under: soil metagenome
Description: partial contains 5.8S ribosomal RNA, internal transcribed spacer 2, and large subunit ribosomal RNA
Rfam family: 5.8S ribosomal RNA (bases 1-120)
Source: RNAcentral